Molecule: transfer RNA, 64 nt
Filed under: Phelsuma barbouri
Lineage: Eukaryota; Metazoa; Chordata; Lepidosauria; Squamata; Gekkonidae
Description: tRNA-Trp
Source: RNAcentral
AAAUUUAGGAUAACUUAAACCGAGGGCCUUCAAAGCCCUAAAUAGAAACAAAUGUUAAUUACUG